This 253-nucleotide ribosomal RNA is filed under the name uncultured bacterium. RNAcentral describes it as "partial 16S ribosomal RNA". It matches the Rfam family "Bacterial small subunit ribosomal RNA", at positions 524 to 776 of the family's 1533-position model. RNAcentral also lists the same sequence under 1 other name. The record is from RNAcentral.
GACGAACCACCCAAACGUUAUUCGGAAUUACUGGGCUUAAAGGGUGCGUAGGCGGCGCGGAAAGUCAGAUGUGAAAUCCCUCGGCUUAACCGAGGAACUGCGUUUGAAACUACCGUGCUUGAGUAAGACAGAGGUAAGCGGAACUUCGGGUGGAGCGGUGAAAUGCGUUGAUAUCCGAAGGAACACCGGUGGCGAAAGCGGCUUACUGGGUCUUUACUGACGCUGAUGCACGAAAGCUAGGGGAGCAAACGGG